UUAAUUGAAACCAAAACUAAGAGGUAAAUCACUGUUAAUGAUUAAAUUGAGAUAUUUCUCCAAUUAAA
RNAcentral lists this transfer RNA (68 nucleotides) under Bisnius sordidus. RNAcentral describes it as "tRNA-Asn". The record is from RNAcentral. Lineage: Eukaryota; Metazoa; Arthropoda; Insecta; Coleoptera; Staphylinidae.